This 253-nucleotide ribosomal RNA is filed under the name uncultured bacterium. RNAcentral describes it as "partial 16S ribosomal RNA". It matches the Rfam family "Bacterial small subunit ribosomal RNA", at positions 524 to 776 of the family's 1533-position model. The record is from RNAcentral.
UACGUAGGCGGCGAGCGUUGUCCGGAUUUACUGGGCGUAAAGCGCGCGCAGGCGGUUCUGUAAGUCCUGGGUGAAAUCGCCCGGCUCAACUGGGCGGGGGCCUGGGGGACUGCGGGACUGGAGGGGCCUAGAGGCCGGUGGAACUCCCGGUGUAGUGGUGAAAUGCGUAGAGAUCGGGAAGAACACCAGUGGCGAAGGCGGCCGGCUGGGGGCGCCCUGACGCUGAGGCGCGAGAGCGUGGGGAGCGAACCGG